RNAcentral lists this long non-coding RNA (869 nucleotides) under Ananas comosus (pineapple). RNAcentral's name for it is "long non-coding RNA (ACOM_LNC041674)". The record is from RNAcentral. Lineage: Eukaryota; Viridiplantae; Streptophyta; Magnoliopsida; Poales; Bromeliaceae.
UGCGGGGCCUACAAUAGAAUUAUGACUCCAUACUUAAUCAUGUACUUCCACUUAAGAUGUGUUUGAUUCGAAGUCGGAAUCGGUAUCAGACUCGAAAUAAGAAUAAGCUCGAAACGAAAUUGGAAUGAUUCAUUACCUUAUUUUGUUUGGUUUGCCACUUGAAUCAAAAUCGGAAUGACCCAUUUCUAUUGUCGGUGUUUGGUUCAGAUAGAUAUCAGAAAUAUAAUCAAAUUAAUAUGCUAAUUUUAUCUUUAUAAUAUAUUAGCUUAAAUUCAAACUAAAAAUUAAAUAUUAAAAAUUUAGGUCAAAAUUUUAAAAUAAUAUCAAAUUUUAAAUAUAUUUUUUUUAAAAAAUAAACUUUGAAAUUGAAUUGAUAAUUCAAAAUAUAAAAGUAAAUAUCAAUUUAUUCAAAUUCAAAAUUAAAAUCAUAAUUUAAAUUUCAAUUGAAUCCGUAAAUAUAAUUUAAAUUUUAAAUAAAAUUUGAAUAAAAUUUUAGAUUUUAAAUUAAACUUAAUUCAAAUUUAUAAAUUAGAUUCGAAAUGCUUGAUUGAGUCUUAAUUUUUAAUUUAAGUUCAAAUUAAAAUUUAAAUUUAUAAAUGUAAUGUUUACUCUUAAACUUAUAUUUUAAUUAACAAAUAAGCUUAAAAAAGUGAAAUUUAAUCCCGCAUACCAAAUACGGACAAACAUAUUCGUCUAUUCCGAUUCCGAUUCCAGGGUGAAAAAGGGGGCGAACCAAUCACACCCAUAAAGCAAACUUUCAAGGGAUUGGACCAAAUUAAUUACAUUCUAAGUAAGCCUCAAAUGGGGUUCAAGGAUAUCCAAAUUCCAAAGUUUGUGCCCCACCCUUCUCUAUAAAUACUCUAAAUAUU